Molecule: ribosomal RNA, 253 nt
Filed under: uncultured bacterium
Lineage: Bacteria
Description: partial 16S ribosomal RNA
Rfam family: Bacterial small subunit ribosomal RNA
Source: RNAcentral
UACGUAGGGGGCAAGCGUUGUCCGGAAUCAUUGGGCGUAAAGCGCGUGUAGGCGGCUCGAUAAGUCUGCUGUGAAAGUCCAAGGCUCAACCUUGGGAUGCCGGUGGAUACUGUCGAGCUCGAGUCCGGAAGAGGAGUGUGGAAUUCCUGGUGUAGCGGUGAAAUGCGCAGAUAUCGGGAGGAACACCAGUAGCGAAGGCGGCUCGCUGGGCCAUUCCUGACGCUGAGACGCGAAAGCUAGGGGAGCGAACAGG